GGAGGAACGGGUAACUGUCUGAGUGGCGGACGGGUGAGUAACGCGUGGGCAACCUGCCCCAUACCGGGGGAUAACAGCCGGAAACGGCUGCUAAUACCGCAUAAGCCUACAGUACCGCAUGGUACAGCAGGAAAAACUCCGGUGGUACAGGAUGGGCCCGCGUCUGAUUAGUUAGUUGGCAGGGUAACGGCCUACCAAGACAACGAUCAGUAGCCGGCUUGAGAGAGUGGACGGCCACAUUGGGACUGAGACACGGCCCAAACUCCUACGGGAGGCAGCAGUGGGGAAUAUUGCACAAUGGGGGGAACCCUGAUGCAGCAACGCCGCGUGAGUGAAGAAGUAUUUCGGUAUGUAAAGCUCUAUCAGCAGGGAAGAAAAUGACGGUACCUGACUAAGAAGCUCCGGCUAAAUACGUGCCAGCAGCCGCGGUAAUACGUAUGGAGCAAGCGUUAUCCGGAUUUACUGGGUGUAAAGGGAGCGCAGGCGGUACGGCAAGUCCGAUGUGAAAGCCCGGGGCUCAACCCCGGGACUGCAUUGGAAACUGCCGCACUAGAGUGCCGGAGAGGUAAGUGGAAUUCCUAGUGUAGCGGUGAAAUGCGUAGAUAUUAGGAGGAACACCAGUGGCGAAGGCGGCUUACUGGACGGUAACUGACGCUGAGGCUCGAAAGCGUGGGGAGCAAACAGGAUUAGAUACCCUGGUAGUCCACGCCGUAAACGAUGAAUACUAGGUGUCGGGGCACAACGUGCUUCGGUGCCGCAGCAAACGCAUUAAGUAUUCCACCUGGGGAGGACGUUCGCUCGAAUGAAACUCAAAGGUAUUGACGGGGACCCGCUCACGCGGUGGAGGCGAUGUGGUUUAAUUUGAAGCAACGCGAAGAACCUUACCAGUCCUCGACAUCCUGCUGGCAGCCCCGUAACGGGGGAAUUCCUUCGGGACAGCAGAGACAGGUGGUGCAUGGUUGUGGUCAGCUCGUGUCGUGAGAUGUUGGGUUAAGUCUCGCGACGAGCGCAACCCCUAUUUCCAGUAACCAGCAUUUCGGAUGGGGACUCUGGUGAGACUGCCGGGGAUAACCCGGAGGAAGGUGGGGAAGACGUCAAAUCAUCAUGCCCCUUAUGGGCUGGGCUACACACGUGCUACAAUGGUGGUGACAGAGUGAGGCGAACCUGCGAAGGGGAGCAAAGCACAAAAAAGGCACCUCAGUUCGGAUUGUAGUCUGCAACUCGACUACAUGAAGCUGGAAUCGCUAGUAAUCGCAGAUCAGAAUGCUGCGGUGAAUACGUUCCCGGGUCUUGCACUCACCGCCCGUCA
RNAcentral lists this ribosomal RNA (1309 nucleotides) under uncultured bacterium. RNAcentral's name for it is "bacterial SSU rRNA". It matches the Rfam family "Bacterial small subunit ribosomal RNA", at positions 69 to 1399 of the family's 1533-position model. The record is from RNAcentral.